This is a long non-coding RNA of Sycon ciliatum, 159 nucleotides long. RefSeq lists it as uncharacterized. The record is from RefSeq and is a predicted model, not a curated record. The transcript has 3 exons. NCBI's taxonomy places the organism in Eukaryota, Metazoa, Porifera, Calcarea, Leucosolenida, Sycettidae.
AGGCUAUACGCUAACAUUAAAUCGGUCAUUGUCAGGGUUUGAGCUUCAACCAGGCAGUAAGCUAUACAAAAGGCUCAGGAUGGUCAAUUCAGGUGCUGAGCUUCAAACGGGAAGAAAGGCUAUACGCUAACAUUAAAUCGGUCAUUGUCAGGGUUUGAG